UACGUAGGGUGCAAGCGUUAAUCGGAAUUACUGGGCGUAAAGCGUGCGCAGGCGGUUUUGUAAGUCUGUCGUGAAAUCCCCAGGCUCAACCUGGGAACUGCGUCCGAUACUGGCAGGCUUGAAUCCGGGAGAGGGAUGUGGAAUUCCAGGUGUAGCGGUGAAAUGCGUAGAUAUCUGGAGGAACACCGGUGGCGAAGGCGGCAUCCUGGACCGAUACUGACGCUGAGGAGCGAAAGCGUGGGGAGCGAACAGG
RNAcentral lists this ribosomal RNA (253 nucleotides) under uncultured bacterium. RNAcentral describes it as "partial 16S ribosomal RNA". It matches the Rfam family "Bacterial small subunit ribosomal RNA", at positions 524 to 776 of the family's 1533-position model. The record is from RNAcentral.